AGUCAUAUGCUUGUCUCAAAGAUUAAGCCAUGCAUGUCUCAGUACAAGCCAAAUUAAGGUGAAACCGCGAAAGGCUCAUUAAAUCAGUUAUGGUUCCUUAGAUCGUACCCACACUUACUUGGAUAACUGUGGUAAUUCUAGAGCUAAUACAUGCAAACAGAGCUCUGACCGGAGACGGAAGGAGCGCUUUUAUUAGAUCAAAACCAAUCGGCGGCAGGCUUGCUUGUCGUCGUUCAACCUGGUGAAUCUGAAUAACUUUGUGCUGAUCGCACGGUCUAGCACCGGCGACGCAUCUUUCAAAUGUCUGCCUUAUCAACUGUCGAUGGUAGGUUCUGCGCCUACCAUGGUUGUAACGGGUAACGGGGAAUCAGGGUUCGAUUCCGGAGAGGGAGCCUGAGAAACGGCUACCACAUCCAAGGAAGGCAGCAGGCGCGCAAAUUACCCACUCCCGGCACGGGGAGGUAGUGACGAAAAAUAACGAUACGGGACUCAUCCGAGGCCCCGUAAUCGGAAUGAGUACACUCUAAAUCCUUUAACGAGGAUCAAUUGGAGGGCAAGUCUGGUGCCAGCAGCCGCGGUAAUUCCAGCUCCAAUAGCGUAU
Molecule: ribosomal RNA, 601 nt
Filed under: Helichus sp. FC_B20
Lineage: Eukaryota; Metazoa; Arthropoda; Insecta; Coleoptera; Dryopidae
Description: SSU rRNA
Rfam family: Eukaryotic small subunit ribosomal RNA
Source: RNAcentral